CGAGCACUCCUCUUCCCCUCCACAUCCUGAAGACUGUGAUGAUGCCAGAACACCUGAUGUCGACUGUGGGCUAUGUUGGAUGUCGCUUUUCAGUCUGUGUCCUGUGUCUGCUCUCCUCUCCUCCCUCCUCUCCUCCACUUGCGUCUACUCCUUCUACAAACAACAGCUCCAGCUGAGACUCCACCAGGGGAAGUGACAGCAGAGAGCAGACUACAGUCAAAAUGGGUGUUGUAGUUUUAUUAUGGGUAGCCAUCUUGAUUUGUAGUCCAUGUAUUAGUCUUGGCCUAUUUCUCUGUCUGUCUGUCUCUCUCUCU
Non-coding RNA from Salmo salar (Atlantic salmon), 314 nucleotides. NCBI's taxonomy places the organism in Eukaryota, Metazoa, Chordata, Actinopteri, Salmoniformes, Salmonidae. The record is from RefSeq and is a predicted model, not a curated record.